UACAGAGGUCCCAAGCGUUGUUCGGAUUCACUGGGCGUAAAGGGUGCGUAGGCGGUUGGGGAAGUCUGACGUGAAAUCUCCGGGCCUAACCCGGAAACUGCGUUAGAUACUAUCCGACUAGAGGAAUGGAGGGGAGACUGGAAUACUUGGUGUAGCAGUGAAAUGCGUAGAUAUCAAGUGGAACACCAGUGGCGAAGGCGAGUCUCUGGACAUUUCCUGACGCUGAGGCACGAAAGCCAGGGGAGCAAACGGG
RNAcentral lists this ribosomal RNA (253 nucleotides) under uncultured bacterium. RNAcentral describes it as "partial 16S ribosomal RNA". It matches the Rfam family "Bacterial small subunit ribosomal RNA", at positions 524 to 776 of the family's 1533-position model. The record is from RNAcentral.